UUGUGGAGGAGGACGCCGAAGGUGGGGCUAAUGACUGGGGUGAAGUCGUAACAAGGUAGCCGUACCGGAAGGUGCGGCUGGAUCACCUCCUAACAGGGAGACAACAAAAUGUUAAAUAUUAAUUUUGUCACCUUAGGUCGAUCGGUAUCUCACAUUCUUAAUUCAUUUAAGAAUUUUAUUUCCUAAGUUUUUCUAGGUCACACCCAUUAUUUUUCCUGGGCCAUUAGCUCAGGUGGUUAGAGCGCACCCCUGAUAAGGGUGAGGUCCCUGGUUCAAGUCCAGGAUGGCCCAUAUCUCUAUGUUGGGGGUAUAGCUCAGUUGGUAGAGCGCCUGCUUUGCAAGCAGGAUGUCAGCGGUUCGAGUCCGCUUACCUCCACUGAUUACCACCUCUUCCAUAAUUUUAUAGAAGGAAAAUUUUGAGUUGUGAUCUAAUUCUGAACGAAUCUAGCUUCCUAAUUAAACUUAUUAAGAUGCUGGACUCAUUGAAUUAAUUUCAUUGUUUUCAGAGAACCUUGACAACUGCAUAGAUUAUUUUUAAAGACAAUAAGCAUCUUUAAUGAUGCAGAUUUAUUAUUUGUGCGAAUGCAUUAAUAACAAUUCUAUUAAGCUGAUGCUUCAAUUAUGAAGUUAUUGGUCAAGCUACAA
Molecule: unclassified non-coding RNA, 645 nt
Filed under: uncultured Prochlorococcus sp.
Lineage: Bacteria; Bacillati; Cyanobacteriota; Cyanophyceae; Synechococcales; Prochlorococcaceae
Description: partial 16S-23S ribosomal RNA intergenic spacer; may also contain 16S ribosomal RNA and 23S ribosomal RNA
Rfam family: tRNA (bases 304-376)
Source: RNAcentral